CAGUAGCCACGGGAAUACAGAGGGUGCGAGCGUUAAUCGGAUUUACUGGGCGUAAAGCGUGCGUAGGCGGCUUCUUAAGUCGGAUGUGAAAUCCCUGAGCUUAACUUAGGAAUUGCAUUCGAUACUGGGAAGCUAGAGUAUGGGAGAGGAUGGUAGAAUUCCAGGUGUAGCGGUGAAAUGCGUAGAGAUCUGGAGGAAUACCGAUGGCGAAGGCGGCCAUCUGGCCUAAUACUGACGCUGAGGUACGAAAGCAUGGGGAGCAAACAGGAUUAGAUACCCCAGUAGUCCCUGUCUCUUAUAC
RNAcentral lists this ribosomal RNA (301 nucleotides) under uncultured bacterium. RNAcentral describes it as "partial 16S ribosomal RNA". It matches the Rfam family "Bacterial small subunit ribosomal RNA", at positions 509 to 807 of the family's 1533-position model. The record is from RNAcentral.